This is an RNA transcript of Lotus japonicus, 1496 nucleotides long. It is a transcript of the gene named PI-PLC X domain-containing protein At5g67130-like, with no coding region annotated. The transcript is spliced from 8 exons. Lineage: Eukaryota; Viridiplantae; Streptophyta; Magnoliopsida; Fabales; Fabaceae. The record is from RefSeq and is a predicted model, not a curated record.
UGAGAACUCAACACGUUUCCUUCACACCAAUGCUUUUUAGGCUGAAAACCUACCAUCACUUUUUCAUAUACAUUAGACCUCUUUUUUUCUUUUUAUUCUCUUCUCUUUCCCUUUUAUUAUCCAUUUCCUUUUAGACAACUCCACUAUAUCCAAAUUAGUGCAAAUGGGUUCUCUGCUGUAUUUGCUUUUUGUUAUUCUUCAGUUGUGGACUUGUGCUUCUGCUGCUUGCUCCAAUGGAAAUUGCAAGCUUCUGGAGGAGUGCUCGUCUGAUGAUGAUUGUGGAUCCGGGCUCUAUUGUUUCUCAUGCGGAGCUAAGUUUUCACGCUCUAGAUGAGUGAGAUCAUCCAUCACAGAUCAAUUCAAGCUCAUAAAUAACUCCCUACCAUUCAACAAAUAUGCAUUUUUAACAACACACAAUGCUUUCGCUAUUGAUGGAGAACCAUCUCACACAGGAGUACCUCGACUGACCAUCAUCAACCAAGAAGACAGUGUAACCCAGCAGCUGAAAAACGGAGUUCGGGGACUAAUGCUGGACACAUACGAUUAUGAUGGAGAUGUGUGGUUAUGCCAUUCCUUUCAAGGCAAGUGCCAUGACUACACAGCUUUUGAACCAGCUAUUGAUACACUGAAGGAAAUUGCAGCUUUUCUAUCAGCCAAUCCAACAGAAAUCGUCACACUCAUAUUGGAAGAUUACGUUAGAACACCAAAAGGGUUAACAAAGGUCUUCACUGAUGCUGGUUUGAUGAAGUUUUGGUUCCCUGUGACAAGAAUGCCAAAAAAUGGAGGAGACUGGCCUCUAGUGAGUGAUAUGGUUGCCAAAAACCAAAGAUUAGUAGUGUUCACUUCAGUGAGAUCCAAGGAACAAAGUGAAGGCAUUGCUUACCAGUGGAACUACAUGGUUGAAAAUCAAUAUGGGGAUGAUGGAAUGAAAGCAGGAAGGUGUCCAAACAGGGCAGAAUCAUCUCCUCUGGAUGACAAAAGCAAGUCCUUAGUAUUGAUAAACUACUUUCGAAGCCCACCACUUAAGCUGGUCACAUGUACUGAUCAUUCUAAAGCUCUCAUUAACAUGCUACAAACAUGUCACAAUGCUGCUGGCAACCGGUGGGCUAAUUUUGUUACUGUUGAUUAUUACAAGAGGAGUGAUGGAGGAGGAUCUUUUCAAGCAGUGGACACUCUCAACGGGAGGCUCUUGUGCGGGUGUAAUGAUGUCCAUGCAUGUCUGCCUGGAUCUACUCCACAAGCUUGCUCAGCAUAGAAAGCACAACACAAAGCUUGUUGAACUGUUUUGAGUCAUCUAAAACUUCAAUAGUAAUUGCUUGCCUUUGGGCAUGUUUAGUUUCAAUUCUGGAUGCAGUAGAGUAGUCAGUAGAUAUGAAUCCAUACUAUUUAUUGCUUUAAUUUGAUGUAAAUCCAUACAAGACGUGUGUGUACCUACCUACUUGUAUUUUCCAAACAUGCUUUCUGUGUCAUAGUAAGGAAUAACAGACAUUUCUAUA